This is a long non-coding RNA of Tupaia belangeri chinensis (Chinese tree shrew), 658 nucleotides long. RefSeq lists it as uncharacterized. The transcript has 3 exons. NCBI's taxonomy places the organism in Eukaryota, Metazoa, Chordata, Mammalia, Scandentia, Tupaiidae. The record is from RefSeq and is a predicted model, not a curated record.
UCAGCACUGGAAAACGUUUUCAGGAGCACUCUGGUCAUCCUGCUGCUGUGGUCUGAUCAUGUGACUAGCCCGCCUGCGUUCUGCCCCUCAUCGCCUUCCUCUCCCUGCCUCAAACCCAGAAAGCCCUAGAGGAAAUAAGCCAACGCCUUUGGGAGUUUUUACCUGGACACUUAUCAGAGUGAGCCGCAGUUGUAGGAUUUUGAUAAUAUGUGCUCUUCGUGACGGUUUUGAAGAUUCCCGCAUAUAAAUGAAUGGACAGAAAUGGAAGGCGUUUUGGAUAUCAAUGUCAUCUGAUGCUUUGACCUCCAUCUAAGUCGUUCAGCAAGAUGAACAACACAGUCAUCUAGAAUCAAAAGGCCUUGCCGUUACUUUGAUGAAAGCCCACACUGACGCUGACGACCCUGCAGAGUUCGUUUCCCCCUCACUGAGCUGCAGUCACAGCUUGGGGGAACUACACCAGAAAGGCGUUCACAAUGCUAAUUAGGAAGACAGUUGAUAUCCAUGUUCCAUGUUUGGCUCUCAUUUUGGCCUCUUGUUUACCCAGAUAUAUUGGAAAAGCUUUGGAAAGAGGAAAUAUCCAUUUGCAUUGCCUUUCCAUUCAAUGUUUUGCUAUAGAGUCUGAUGUGCUUUAAUAAACAUUUGUCAACGUUUCUCAUUU